This 646-nucleotide long non-coding RNA is filed under the name Medicago truncatula (barrel medic). RNAcentral's name for it is "lncRNA gene38263". Lineage: Eukaryota; Viridiplantae; Streptophyta; Magnoliopsida; Fabales; Fabaceae. The record is from RNAcentral.
CCUCUUCUUCUCCUUCUUCAUCUUCCUUUCCUCACCUUCUUCCCCUACCCCCGUAUCACAACCAUCACCCUCCGUAUCACCACCAUCAUCCAUGGCGGCAUCAAUUUUGGUCGUUUUGUCUCCGCUGCAACCGUCUCUGAUCGACGCCGUAUUCAAUGUCGCCCCCAGCAUAAUCGGCUCCGGAAUCAUUUAAAUUCCGGCGAUUCUCAAAGUUCUCGGCGUGCUUCCUUCUUUCGCCUUGAUUCUUAUCAUCGAUGUGCUCGCUGAAGUUUCUGUUGAUUUUCUCAUGCGUUUUACGCAUGCCGGUGUAACCACACGUACUUUGGUGUUAUGAAGGAAGCUUUUGGGUCUGUUGGAGCUUUGUUUAUCGCGGUGAGUUUUGUUUAUUUUUAAUUUUUUUUUUGAAAGAGGUAAUAACUCUUAGUUCUUAUUUUAUAUUUAAUCUUUUUUUUGUAAUCAAGCUACUACAACACAACAUACACAACCAGUUGAUUAAGAAAGUGGUUCAAGCAAAUUAGGGGCAUUUGAUUGCUAGGGCUUUUUUAAAAAAUUGUAUGGGUGAAUGAGAUUCAUUCAAGUCUGUUUUGAGGUUGUUUCAAUAUUUGAAUGCAACACCAACCUGAUAUGUUAUCUCUUUGGUGUAAUG